GACGAACGCUGGCGGCGUGCUUAACACAUGCAAGUCGAACGGAAAGGCCCUGCUUUUGUGGGGUGCUCGAGUGGCGAACGGGUGAGUAACACGUGAGUAACCUGCCCUUGACUUUGGGAUAACUUCAGGAAACUGGGGUUAAUACCGGCUAGGAGCUCCUGCUGCAUGGUGGGGGUUGGAAUGUUUCGGCGGUUGGGGAUGGACUCGCGGCUUACCAGCUUGUUGGUGGGGUAGUGGCUUACCAAGGCUUUGACGGAUCGCCGGCCUGAGAGGGUGACCGGCCACAAUAGGACUGAGAUACGGACCAGACGCGUACGGGAGGCAGCAGUGGGGAGCAUUAUACAGUGGGCGGGAGCCUAAGGCAGCGACGCCGGGUGCGGGAAGAAGGCCUUCGGGGGGUGAAGCGAUUUCGCCUGAGACGAAGCGUGAGUGACGGUAACGGGAGAAGAAGCACCGGCUAACUACGUG
This 468-nucleotide ribosomal RNA is filed under the name uncultured bacterium. RNAcentral's name for it is "partial 16S ribosomal RNA". It matches the Rfam family "Bacterial small subunit ribosomal RNA", at positions 28 to 507 of the family's 1533-position model. The record is from RNAcentral.